RNAcentral lists this ribosomal RNA (247 nucleotides) under uncultured bacterium. Its description in RNAcentral is "partial 16S ribosomal RNA". It matches the Rfam family "Bacterial small subunit ribosomal RNA", at positions 523 to 769 of the family's 1533-position model. The record is from RNAcentral.
AUACGUAGGGGGCAAGCGUUGUCCGGAAUCAUUGGGCGUAAAGGGCGCGUGGGCGGAUACUUAAGUCUGGUGUGAAAACCUAGGGCUCAACCCUGGGACUGCAUCGGAAACUGGGUAUCUUGAGGACAGGAGAGGAAAGUGGAAUUCCACGUGUAGCGGUGAAAUGCGUAGAUAUGUGGAGGAACACCAGUGGCGAAGGCGACUUUCUGGACGAUAACUGACGCUGAGGCGCGAAAGCGUGGGGAGC